GAGGGAAACAACCCAGACCGCCAGCUAAGGUCCCCAAGUACUAGUUAAGUGGGAAACGAUGUGGGAAGGCAUAGACAGCCAGGAGGUUGGCUUAGAAGCAGCCACCCUUUAAAGAAAGCGUAAUAGCUCACUGGUCGAGUCGGCCUGCGCGGAAGAUGUAACGGGGCUAAAACUAGUCACCGAAGCUGCGGAUGUGCGCGAAGGCGCACGUGGUAGGGGAGCGUUCUGUAGGCUGAUGAAGGUGCAUUGAGAAGUGUGCUGGAGGUAUCAGAAGUGCGAAUGCUGACAUGAGUAACGAUAAUGUGGGUGAAAAGCCCACACGCCGGAAGUCCCAGGUUUCCUGCACGACGUUAAUCGGAGCAGGGUGAGUCGGCCCCUAAGGCGAGGCUGAAGAGCGUAGUCGAUGGGAACCAGGUUAAUAUUCCUGGACUUUUUAUAAGUGGUGAAGUGGGGACGAAGAAGGCUAGGUGAGCCAGGCGUUGGUUGUCCUGGUACUUGCAUGUAGGGGGGAAGACUUGGCAAAUCCGGUUUUCCAUAACUCUGAGGUGCGAAGUGGUUCUGACCUUUUGGUACAGAGAAGUCAUUGAUGCCCGGCUUCCAGGAAAAGCUGCUAGCCAUAACUUAUAGAGAACCGUACCGCAAACCGACACAGGUGGACAGGUAGAGAAUACUAAGGCGCUUGAGAGAACUCGGGUGAAGGAACUAGGCAAAAUGGUACCGUAACUUCGGGAGAAGGUACGCCCUUUCUGGUGAUGGGAUUUACUUUCAGAGCUGGAGAGGGCCGCAGAGACCAGGUGGCUGCGACUGUUUAUUAAAAACACAGCACUCUGCAAAUUCGUAAGAAGACGUAUAGGGUGUGACGCCUGCCCGGUGCCGGAAGGUUAAUUGAUGGGGUUAUCUUCGGAGAAGCUCUUGAUCGAAGCCCCGGUAAACGGCGGCCGUAACUAUAACGGUCCUAAGGUAGCGAAAUUCCUUGUCGGGUAAGUUCCGACCUGCACGAAUGGCGUAACGAUGGCCACACUGUCUCCACCCGAGACUCAGUGAAAUUGAAAUCGCUGUGAAGAUGCAGUGUACCCGCGGCUAGACGGAAAGACCCCGUGAACCUUUACUAUAGUUUUGCACUGGACUUUGAUGAUGACUGUGUAGGAUAGGUGGGAGGCUGUGAAGUGAGGACGCUAGUUCUCAUGGAGCCGCCCUUGAAAUACCACCCUGUUGUUAUUGAGGUUCUAACUUGGUCCAGUAAUCCUGGAUGAGGACAGUGUAUGAUGGGUAGUUUGACUGGGGCGGUCUCCUCCCAAAGAGUAACGGAGGAGCACAAAGGUACCCUCGGUACGGUCGGACAUCGUACCAAGAGUGUAAAGGCAAAAGGGUGCUUGACUGCGAGAGUGACGGCUCGAGCAGGAACGAAAGUUGGUCUUAGUGAUCCGGUGGUUCUGAAUGGAAGGGCCAUCGCUCAACGGAUAAAAGGUACUCCGGGGAUAACAGGCUGAUACCGCCCAAGAGUUCAUAUCGACGGCGGUGUUUGGCACCUCGAUGUCGGCUCAUCACAUCCUGGGGCUGAAGCAGGUCCCAAGGGUAUGGCUGUUCGCCAUUUAAAGUGGUACGCGAGCUGGGUUUAGAACGUCGUGAGACAGUUCGGUCCCUAUCUGCCGUGGGCGUAGGAAAAUUGAGAGGAGCUGCUCCUAGUACGAGAGGACCGGAGUGGACGAACCUCUGGUGCACCGGUUGUCACGCCAGUGGCAUGGCCGGGUAGCUAAGUUCGGACGGGAUAACCGCUGAAAGCAUCUAAGCGGGAAGCCUCCCUCAAGAUGAGUUUUCCCAUGAAGCCCGUUGAAGACUACGACGUUGAUAGGCAAGGUGUGGAAGCGCAGUAAUGCGUGAAGCUAACUUGUACUAAUUGGCUGAUUGUCUUGACCA
Molecule: ribosomal RNA, 1917 nt
Filed under: Legionella pneumophila
Lineage: Bacteria; Pseudomonadati; Pseudomonadota; Gammaproteobacteria; Legionellales; Legionellaceae
Description: partial 23S ribosomal RNA
Rfam family: Bacterial large subunit ribosomal RNA
Source: RNAcentral